RNAcentral lists this ribosomal RNA (468 nucleotides) under uncultured bacterium. RNAcentral describes it as "partial 16S ribosomal RNA". It matches the Rfam family "Bacterial small subunit ribosomal RNA", at positions 28 to 507 of the family's 1533-position model. The record is from RNAcentral.
GACGAACGCUGGCGGCGUGCUUAACACAUGCAAGUCGAACGGAAAGGCCCUGCUUUUGUGGGGUUCUCGAGUGGCGAACGGGUGAGUAACACGUGAGUAACCUGCCCUUGACUUUGGGAUAACUUCAGGAAACUGGGGCUAAUACCGGAUAGGAGCUCCUGCUGCAUGGUGGGGGUUGGAAAGUUUCGGCGGUUGGGGAUGGACUCGCGGCUUAUCAGCUUGUUGGUGGGGUAGUGGCUUACCAAGGCUUUGACGGGUAGCCGGCCUGAGAGGGUGACCGGCCACAUUGGGACUGAGAUACGGCCCAGACUCCUACGGGAGGCAGCAGUGGGGAAUAUUGCACAAUGGGCGGAAGCCUGAUGCAGCAACGCCGCGUGCGGGAUGACGGCCUUCGGGUUGUAAACCGCUUUCGCCUGUGACGAAGCGUGAGUGACGGUAAUGGGUAAAAAAGCACCGGCUAACUACGUG